This 204-nucleotide unclassified non-coding RNA is filed under the name uncultured Lycoperdaceae. RNAcentral describes it as "sequence contains ITS2". The record is from RNAcentral. Lineage: Eukaryota; Fungi; Basidiomycota; Agaricomycetes; Agaricales; Lycoperdaceae.
AAUUCUCAACUCCUCCAGCUUUUGCGAGCUGCGAUGGGGCUUGGAUGUUGGGGGUUGCGGGCCUUCACAGGUCAGCUCUCCUGAAAUGUAUUAGCGGAACCGUUUGCAGUCCCGUCACUAGUGUGAUAAUUAUCUACACUGUGAUGAUUGCUCUCUGACUAGUUCAGCUACUAAUAGUCCACUUUCCGGACAACUUAAUGAAAA